Molecule: small nuclear RNA, 96 nt
Organism: Mesocricetus auratus (golden hamster)
Lineage: Eukaryota; Metazoa; Chordata; Mammalia; Rodentia; Cricetidae
Source: Ensembl
AUGCUCAGUUGGCAGCAUACAUACAAAAAUUGGAUUGAUACAGAGAUUAACAUGGCCCCUGCAAAAGAAUGACAUGAAAUUUACUCAGAGGCGGUU